UUUUUAUUUAGGCUAAAAAUUAUGUUUAAAUGAGAAAAAUUCUAUUCAUGACGAUAGUGCAUUCACUGUUUAAUCUAAUGGUGUUGUCAAAGCUUCAAGGCGCCAUUGGGCUAGGAGCUCUCUGAUACUGUCAGUUUGGGAAGUAGGUCCAUUCUUAUGGUACAAACGACAGUUCGUUUCCAGGGUUUCCUGACACGCCAACUAAGCCACUUAAGGAGAAGGUUGGGAUAAACACGUGAUUUGUUGCUUAGGAACAAGACGAAAUCUAAUGGCAAAAAUUGAAAGCCAAUCACAGAUUCAUUCACACAAGGACUCCCCUGGCGUAGUCAAACCAGUGGCGUCAGGACAAGGCAUGUCUCAAAAAUUCAAGUAUUUCUUAACUUUGUGGGCUUUUUUUGAGAACCUCUUAUUUUCUGGUCUCAGAGCAGGCUGGCCUGCCCUCGUAUACAUCCUCAAGCAGGAGCAUAUUUAUUCUUAUCUGUGUGUAAAGGAACCUCUCAAAGCGACACCAAACGCUACGGUUCAUCUGAUUCAAAGCCGACAAAUUUCACCGAGCGAACUCACAAAAACAGAGAUGUAUAACGCAUCAACUCCUUACCAGCAUAAACAAUUUUCACAGCAUGGUGUUGAGGAAGCUUUGGUGAUGUUUCAAAACUUGAGUGGCACUGCACUAAAUCACACUUCUACUCAGUGUGACGAGCAGGACGCCGUAUUCAAUCAAUGCUUCACAAUUACCACAGCAACCAUGGCUCUCAGCGCACUGCUGUAUGGACAGCUGAACUAUAAAUUUGGUAUCAGGGCACCCAGAGUAUUAUCUGUGUUUUUGUUUGUAGCUGGAUCAAUGUGUAUAGCGUUUAUAAAUAAAGAUGUUCCAUGGCUGGUGUUUCCUGGUUUCAUACUUAUAAGUUCUGGUGGUAUGGCUCUGUAUUUAACAAACAAUCAGAUUUCUUAUCUGUACUCAAAAGGUAGUGCUGGUAUAGUGGGCCUCUUAUGUGGUGCACUGGAAGCGUCGUCCUUUGUUCAAACGGUCAUUAAGAUCGCCUACGAGUCUGGAGUCAGUUUACUCGUGUCCCACCUGGUGCUUGGCGCCCUGUACUUGUGCACCCUGCUGAGUACAUUCUUCUUCUUGCCCAGAAACUUCAUCCCCAGCCAAGAAGAUGUUCCCAAGAACAACAGAGAUGACGAAGAACACAUUGAGUCUACUGGUGAUCCUGAUCUGAAUGAGAAGAGAGUCACUCCAGACGCUGGAGAUUCUCAAAAGAAGGAACACGUACUUGAAAAAUACCAAUCCGAACACGUUGUUCAAAAUUACGUCACCGAAGACCAGGGAGAUAGACCAAUCGGAGACUUUCUUCAGAUUCAAACUAAUGGCGGAAACUAUGUUCUUAAAGAAGUAGGUAAUUCAUCGACGUUGAGCGGAGCGUCCAAAGAGUUCAAAGGUCGUAGUACAAAAAAACUACUGGAGUGCUUAUUCUCCAGAACAUACCUACUCUAUCUCUUCUGGGCAUGCGUAGUGCAGAUAAUUUUGGCAAUGUGUCUGGGAACGUUCAACCCUUGGCUUGAAUUCGUCACAAACAAAAAUCUUGAAGAAGUUAGUCGAUUUACAGAUGUCUUACUGUAUUCAAUGCUAGGCAGUCCUGUACUGUCACUGUGUAUUGGCUUGUCUAUGGAUUUCCUAAACAACGGAGACAACACAGACAAGCAACAAGCAGUGAAGAGAACUCUGAUUACUUCCAGUGUAUCCUUGGGCGCCACAAGCGUAUUGGGAGUGAUCGCGUGUGCCUUCUUCAUUGUCAGUGGUCCCGACAUUAUUGUCGUCACCAGUAUUGCUCUUGUGAUUUUUAGAACCGCCUUGUACAGCUGUGGCGCUGCCUUUCUCAGAAUCAUGUAUCCCACUGAACUGUUCGGGCUACUUUGUGGAAUCAUGUCGUUAAUGUCAGGAGGAAUCAGCUUUGUGCAGUAUCCUUUGUUUCUAUGGGUGCAGACAAGAGUGCAGGCUUGGAAAGAGACGGCUCCGGUGAAACUUUACAUCGAUGGUCCCCUUUGAAGAGUAUUACGCGAGUGGCAGCGCGUUGCUUCCCUUAGGUCACAAUGUUACUACUGGCGGCGGAACGCUGUCGCUGUUAGUUCUUGAUAGGUCUUUGGAUUUUUAGGACUUCUUGGCAUUGUGUCGCUAGUACAACCUAUAUACUUACUUUGGAAGAGCAGGCAGAUCGAGAGGAACAACUGACGUGAUGGCCCCAUUGCAUUUGCUUAGAAUAAACAAACUUUUUACCGGACAGACAGAAUGACAGAGUGCGUUCAUAUAGCCUAAGAUUUGUAAAAAUUGGAACAUCGCUAUAUGCAUAAAUGUUGUACGUAACAAAAUACUAUAUGCCCUAUAUUCUCUAUAAUACAAGUCGGAAUACACAUAAUCAAUAUUA
This is an RNA transcript of Biomphalaria glabrata, 2423 nucleotides long. It is a transcript of the gene named equilibrative nucleobase transporter 1-like, with no coding region annotated. The record is from RefSeq and is a predicted model, not a curated record. Lineage: Eukaryota; Metazoa; Mollusca; Gastropoda; Planorbidae. The transcript is spliced from 13 exons.